AUUUGGGUCAUUACUGUCUACACAUUAAAUAGGUAUAUGAGUCAUUUAUGUCUUAUUUUAAAAGCAGAAAAAAUAAAAGAGCUCGAAAGCUCUUUUUUAUAAUCUACUUUGUAUUAAUA
Molecule: unclassified non-coding RNA, 119 nt
Filed under: Moritella viscosa
Lineage: Bacteria; Pseudomonadati; Pseudomonadota; Gammaproteobacteria; Alteromonadales; Moritellaceae
Description: putative sRNA
Source: RNAcentral